CAAGGGGAAUCCGACUGUUUA
This 21-nucleotide small nuclear RNA is filed under the name Arabidopsis thaliana (thale cress). RNAcentral's name for it is "snRNA_13271". The record is from RNAcentral. Lineage: Eukaryota; Viridiplantae; Streptophyta; Magnoliopsida; Brassicales; Brassicaceae.